RNAcentral lists this ribosomal RNA (406 nucleotides) under uncultured bacterium. Its description in RNAcentral is "partial 16S ribosomal RNA". It matches the Rfam family "Bacterial small subunit ribosomal RNA", at positions 30 to 526 of the family's 1533-position model. The record is from RNAcentral.
AUUGAACGCUGGCGGCAGGCCUAACACAUGCAAGUCGAACGAGUGGCGGACGGGUGAGUAAUGUCUGGGAAACUGCCUGAUGGCGGGGGAUAACUACUGGAAACGGUACCUAAUACCGCAUACCAUCAGAUGUGCCCAGAUGGGAUUAGCUAGUUGGUGGGGUAACGGCUCACCAAGGCGACGAUCCCUAGCUGGUCUGAGAGGAUGACCAGCAACACUGGAACUGAGACACGGUCCAGACUCCUACGGGAGGCAGCAGUGGGGAAUAUUGCACAAUGGGCGAAAGCCUGAUGCAGCCAUGCCGCGUGUAUGAAGAAGGCCUUCGGGUUGUAAAGUACUGUCAGCGGGGAGGCGUUACCCGAAGAAGAAGCACCGGCUAACUACGUGCCAGCAGCCGCGGUAAUAC